RNAcentral lists this ribosomal RNA (535 nucleotides) under uncultured bacterium. RNAcentral's name for it is "bacterial SSU rRNA". It matches the Rfam family "Bacterial small subunit ribosomal RNA", at positions 767 to 1304 of the family's 1533-position model. The record is from RNAcentral.
AGCUAAUAGAUACCCAGGUAGUCCACGCCGUAAACGAUGAUAACUAGCUGUCGGGGGUCAUGGACUUUCGGUGGCGCAGCUAACGCAUUAAGUUAUCCGCCUGGGGAGUACGGCCGCAAGGUUAAAACUACAAAGAAAUUGACGGGGGCCGUGCACAAGCCGUGGAGCAUGUGGUUUAAUUCGAAGCAACGCGCAGAACCUUACCAGCGUUUGACAUCCUGAUCGCGGUUACCAGAGAUGGUUUCCUUCAGUUCGGCUGGAUCAGUGACAGGUGCUGCAUGGCUGUCGUCAGCUCGUGUCGUGAGAUGUUGGGUUAAGUCCCGCAACGAGCGCAACCCUCGUCUUUAGUUGCCAUCAUUUAGUUGGGCACUCUAAAGAAACCGCCGGUGAUAAGCCGGAGGAAGGUGGGGAUGACGUCAAGUCCUCAUGGCCCUUACGCGCUGGGCUACACACGUGCUACAAUGGCGGUGACAACGGGCUGCUACCUCGCGAGGGGAAGCUAAUCCCAAAAAGCCGUCUCAGUUCGGAUUGUUCU